Molecule: long non-coding RNA, 5602 nt
Filed under: Sus scrofa (pig)
Lineage: Eukaryota; Metazoa; Chordata; Mammalia; Artiodactyla; Suidae
Description: lncRNA (ENSSSCG00055017825.1)
Source: RNAcentral
CUGCCAAGCUGUCGGUUCUCAGUGUGGUAAGGUUCCUUUUGUGGCCAAAUGCAGAGAAAUGAUGGGCUGAGUUAGGGAUGUGUGGUGUGUGUGUGUUUGCCUGUGGCUGCCGAAGUGGAGGAUGUGUUGGGAGGAGCACUCAGGACUUCCAUUUUUGCUUUCUUACUACGCAACGAUAAAAUAAAUGACGCUUAGUAGAUAACUUUGUGCUUAGAGAACUGGAGCUCAAUUGAAGAAACAAAACUCCACCAGGAGGAGUGCUCAGUAUCUUGAACUUAGGAAACGGACCUCGUUAAUUUUAAUGAGGGGAAAAAUUCUCCAGCUGGAGCUGAGAAGAAGAUGAAAUACCAAUGAGGUUAUCACUUUGGAUGAUCUCAAUGAAUUCAGAGUAGCAUCAGAAUGAUGCUUGGAGAAUUUUCUGAAGUUCUUUGGAGAGAUUUAGCAGAGAAUGCAUUUGCCUUCGAUGGUAUAUAAAGACCGCUUCCCUGGAGGGCAGAGCAGAACUUUAUAUGGUUCCUCUUAGAGGGGCUCUUAGAAAGCUUAGCACAUUAAGAAGUUGGGCUAAAAUAAAACUCAGAGAGAAAAUAAAUGAAUGUGAGUCUUAUGUGAGUCUAGCUUGGGAACAAUGGAGCUGGUAAUAUAGUGGCCGAGACAGUUGACUGGAAGCCAAGGGCUUCUGAGUUCAAGUGCACACUGGGACACUAACUUCCACUGGGAUUUGGGGCAUCUGUUUCUUUAUCACCCAAAGGCAGGAGGUGGGCUGAGGGCAUCCUGUUAUAUAGUAGGCAGCCAUUCAACGUGAACAAUAAGUCGAUGACUUUGGCCCUGUUGUUGAGGAGCUGACAGAUUGUGACCAAUGAGGUUGGGGUGACUGGAGGACAAUUUUGCCCUCAGUUGGGAGAGGCUUGCCAAAUUCCCCUGGCAUUGGUCCGGAACCACAGACAGAAACAUCACCGUUUAAGGUAUUUGGCCCUUUUACUUUAUCCUCGUCCACUACACGGCUGAUCCUAGGAAAAAGAGCACUCUUCCACCAAUGAAUUCUUCAGAGGUCUGGAGCAGACAGCCCAGGCUUUUUUCUCCAAAAGCUCCAGCCUGCUGACUCAAGCUCUUUUCUCAUCUCUCUGGCAUGUCGCUGCACUCAGGAUAAGAUUUGUGCGACCAUCAGGUACAAAUUCAUGUGUCACUUUUUGAUUAAAUGGGGCCAUCUUGCUCUAGGGGUCACCGGGCAUGUGGGGGGGACCCAUUCCUACUUCUAAGGUCCCUUGAAUUUCAGCCCUUUUCUUUGAAAGCUGUAAGGCAACAGUUCAGGGCACUUGUGCUGCUGCUAUGGCUGUGCCUAUAUUUGAUGGGGAAGGCUGGUUGCCAAGCAGCAGGGAAUGGACAUGAUCGUGUUGCCUAGCAACAGCGGCAGCGUGGUCACUUGCGCAGAUUUCUGCGCCUCUUCCUGUUUGGUCUGCUGGAAAAUACAGAUGGCUUCCGUGGGUCGCUCUCUACCCUGGCCACAGUGAGAUGUUGGAAAAACAGUGAACCGGGGUGGAUAAAUGCACAAGCAGGUGGUUUAAAAUGAUUACUUUCUAAACUGUCUAGGGCCGAGCUUUUUGUACGGUGUUCCUCCAUUUCCCCUUUGAAGAUAUUGUACGUACCCAGCGUGACCUGUAGAUUGAUUGCAGAGCCAGGAGAGGAGUCUUAGGAAAAAGUACCCCACUUCUUUGCGUGCUGCCUCUUCUGAGCCUGGUGGAGCCUUCGCACUGGGGAGCAUGUGUGAAUAUAAUAUAAAACAGUCAGUUUUCUGAUAAAUACACACACACACACACACACACACACAGGCCUGUGUGAAAAAGAUACAGGAGGAGCAGAGCGUGACCACCUAUUGUUCGUUGGGGUCUGAGGAACAAAGCAGUCGGGAGAGAUAAAGGCAGGCGAGCCCUGCGGGUCUGCCCUUUCUCCCUGCUCUGACCAGCACCUCGCAUGUGACACAGCUCAGUGAGGUCACUUGCUCAUUCCAGAUUCUAAAGAUGCUUCCUUGGCAGAGGCCUCCUAGGUCAGAGGCCUCUUGGCGGUGGUUGUAUGUUUGGAGCACCAGGAGUGUUUGGAGCUGAAUGCUUAAGGAAUGGAUUUUCUGGCAGUGAGAGAAAGAGAGUGAGCAUCUGACCCUUAGCCCUCAUAGGGUGAGGAGGUACCUCCCUACCCACUCCCAUUCCUGUCUAUGGAGUUGAAUUGUAGCCAAGUACCGGCUUGGUGUCAGCAGGCCCUGGUUCUGUCUUUAAUGUCACUGCCUACCUGCGGUGUGGCUCUGUGCGGCCCUUUGUCCCACCUGAACCUUUGCAUUCCUGUCUAGGAAGAUAAUAGCAAACGCAGCCUCACAGGGAGGGCUUGAAGGUUCAGAAAGGCCCUGGUUUGUUGGCACAUCUGGCCUAGAGCCAGUGUGUAGGGAUUCUUGCUGCCAACCUCCUCCUAGCAGUUUAAGAGCAGGAAGAGAGAAGGGAAGGCAAGCUCUGCACAGCACAGAUUUCGCCAUCUUGGUUUCUGUUCCCAGCCUUAGCCUUCCAGAUGAUGAGCCAGUAUUUCCAUCCAUUUAGGUUAGAAAAGACGAGAGACCCCUCUCCUUUUGGAGGCUUGACUUGGUCCCUUGGGAGCCUGGAGGGGGCUAAUUGAUUUUCAGUAGUUUCCUAGUUUUUACAAAAUCAGUAAGGAUGGGUUGUUUGCAUUUCACAGAGGAUGAGACAGGAAUGUAGAACAGUGGGCUAAUUUGUUGGGGAUUCUCGAGACCAUUGGUUCCAAGUUGGGAUCAAAAUCCUAGGGCCUGAUGGGGUAAAGGAAGCCCCUGGCAAAGCCAGAGGGAGUAGGUUAGUGUAGGACAUCUCUGUGGAGUCAGAACGUUCUAGGAACUGAGGAGACUUGGAUUUUAGGUUUCAAGUUGCCAGGUCAGUGAGUGUCUUCUGGACAGAUUGAAGCAUGGCUUUUGGCAGCCCAGCUGAGCUGCCAGGCCUGAGUCUGCUCUGUUGUACGUCCACUAGUCUGCAGAGGGGCAAAGGCAUUCUAAUGCAGAAGCUCCAGCUCUCAUUGAAGUCCUGCUAAAGGCCCUGGUUCUUCAGUUUCCUCAGAGUCAGGGAAACCUAGGGCUAGGAAUUACCAGCUUUGGCUACUUUAAAAGUGCUCUACUCAGUGGAUUGCUCCAUGAAGGACAGCAUGUCCUUCUUUUGCAUUGGUUACUUGUCUCUCUCUUUUUUUCUUUUUUGGUCUUUUUAGGGCCACACGCAUAGCAUAUGGAAGUUCCCAUGCUGUGGAUCACAUUCGAGCUUCAGCUGCUGGCCUGUGCCACAGCCAGAGCAAUGCCAGAUCCGAGCUGUGCCUGCUGCCUACACCACAGCUCACUGCAACCCUGGAUCCUUAACCCACUGAGUGAGGUCAGGGAUCCAUACUGUGUCCUCAUGGAUCCUAGUCAGGUUCAUCGCUAUGGAGCCAAGGUGGGAACUUCCUGGUUACUUUGUCUCUUAAAGCAAGUAACCCUUUUGGCUCUGAAGGUUAGAACCUCUCCACAAUACCAACAUCCUCAGGCAUUUCUUGUUCUCUGUGCAGGAAGAGAGCAGCCCUCACAGAUUCUCCUCACAGCAGCCAUUGGUAGACUGUGAGCAGAACUCGGAAGGCAGUAUGGUUCUAGAAUUCCACACCGCCUGUUUUUGCCAUGGCGUCCAGAGCUGCCUCUGACUGUCACAUUCCAUGGCCCUGCGCCACCGAUGACUCAGGAUACUCAUCUAAGUGUUUUCCUUAGGGGCUGGGGCAGGGAGGAAGGGGAGAUUAAAGAGAGGAGAGACUUGUGUGCGGUCCAUUUCCCCACCUAUCUGACAUUAAAGGGGUCCAGCAGCUCCUGCCAUAGCACCUAGGAAGGUCAGGAGACACCCAGAUCUAAGCUAGAGUAAAGAAAUUUUUUUUUCUUUGCUUUUUAGGAUCACACCUGUGGCAUAUGGAAGUUCCCAGGCUAGGGGUGGAAUUGGAGCUACAGCUGCCAGCCUGAAGCCACAGUAACUUGGGAUCUGAGCCGUGUCUGCAAUCUAUAGCGCAGCUGAAUGGCAAUGCCAGAUCCUUAAUCCGCUGAGCAAGGCCAGGGAUGAACCUGCAUCCUCAUGGAUCCUAGCUGGGUUUGUUACCCCAGAGCCAUGAUGGGAACUCCCUAGAGGAAAGCAAUGAGGCCUUUUCCCCACCAGACGUGCCUCCCCAGCUGCCUUCUUACUUGGCUGUAUCUGUAAAUGAACCACCUUCUUUAUGCCUUGGUUUCAUGUGGUCUCUCUGUGAGACUCUUGGCAGAGGCCUUGGUUGCCACCAAAAGAGGCUAACAGUGCAGCCUCCGCCCCAGCCCAUCUCAGGGGUGUUUCCUUAGCUAAGUCCUGGGGAGGCAUGCAAUGAAAGAGAAACAGGUGUAGCCGACCUGAGGAACCACUUCAAGGCCACAUGUCUCCCCCCAGCAGCUCUCUCUUCCCGUGGAUUGGAAGAUGUUCAGCCUUUAGUCUCCGUCAGAGGACAGUGUGAGAAAGGGGAUUGUAUUAUCUGCUGAUUGUAUUAUCUGAUUGAAAUCCCCUCCCAGCUGUGUGAGCCUGUGGAUUUGCAUCCUUCCCGUGACAAGUAUCACUUAUUGUGUUUGGUUUUGCUUGUCACAGUGACUUUUGGUAUUCAGCUAACACCCUUCUUUUAAGGAAGUUAGAACACUUGAUACAUUUUAAGCCUCUGAUCCUCUCAAAUACUCCUGGAAAACUGAGGUCCAUUGAGAUGAAGUGCCUUGAUUAGUUAUAUAACAGGCUGGCUGCUUUUUGGUUACCCCUUUUCUUUCUCUCCCUCACUCUCACUUUCCCCUUCUCUCUCCCUUUCUUCCUCUCCCUCUCUCAUGUUGUUAGAAAAUUGUCUGCAUAUACAGGUUCGCAAUAUUCUACUUUUACAUCAGAAGUCCUAUCUCUAGUACUGUUUAUUUCCAUCAUGCCCCCUUUUCAGGAGAACUCUAGCUCUGUUGCCACAUUUGCAUUACCGGCCCCCUGCGUGUGCAUGAGAGGUUAGCAGUAACGCCACUUCAGAACCGAGGUUGCUGAGUGCAGGCUCAUUCUAUCUUGUAGAGACCAAGUCUCAGCAAGUGGAAGUGUCUUGCCAAGGGGGUGGAACUAUUAAUAAGAAAGGAAACUAAAAAUAGACCUUAGACAUUUCACUUGGCUCUCCUCGACAUCACUCCUCGCCUGGUCUUGGUUAGGACAGGCAUGACAUCGCUCCGUUUUCAUCCAGAGAACCACCACCCAAGUGUGUCUCAGUGGUUCAUUAGGGUAUGCAGUCUUUUAGAGGUGAUGUUGAAACUUGUAAACGUGGGGUAGUUCCUAAGGUCCUAAGGCCUAAGGAUGGGCACUGUAGCCUGGUCCUGGGAUGUCCUGGUAGAUAGGAAGUGUUCAGUGGACAUUUACCAAUUUGAUAAGGUUUUUAUUUUUAUUUUUUUGCUUUUCAGGGCCACUCCCGCAGCAUAUAGAGGUUUUCAGGCUAAGGGUCAAGUCAGAGCUAUAGCUGCUGGCCUACACCACAGCCACAGCAACUCGGGAUCCAAGCCGCGUCUGAGACCUACACCACAGCU